Molecule: non-coding RNA, 21 nt
Organism: Caenorhabditis elegans
Lineage: Eukaryota; Metazoa; Nematoda; Chromadorea; Rhabditida; Rhabditidae
Source: Ensembl
UUCUCAUCGAUUUUCAACGAU